RNAcentral lists this ribosomal RNA (487 nucleotides) under uncultured bacterium. Its description in RNAcentral is "partial 16S ribosomal RNA". It matches the Rfam family "Bacterial small subunit ribosomal RNA", at positions 28 to 507 of the family's 1533-position model. The record is from RNAcentral.
GAUGAACGCUAGCGAUAGGCUUAACACAUGCAAGUCGAGGGGCAGCACAAGGUAGCUUGCUAUCUGGGUGGCGACCGGCGCACGGGUGCGUAACGCGUAUGCAACUUGCCCUAUACAGGAGGAUAACCCGUCGAAAGACGGACUAAUACUGCGUAUGCUCACAACUUGGCAUCAAGUGGUGAGGAAAGAAAUUCGGUAUAGGAUAGGCAUGCGUCCCAUUAGCUUGUUGGUGAGGUAACGGCUCACCAAGGCAACGAUGGGUAGGGGAACUGAGAGGUUUAUCCCCCACACUGGUACUGAGACACGGACCAGACUCCUACGGGAGGCAGCAGUGAGGAAUAUUGGUCAAUGGGCGCGAGCCUGAACCAGCCAAGUCGCGUGAAGGAUGACUGUCUUAUGGAUUGUAAACUUCUUUUAUACGGGAAUAACAAGCGUCACGUGUGACUCCCUGCAUGUACCGUAUGAAUAAGCAUCGGCUAACUCCGUG